This 651-nucleotide ribosomal RNA is filed under the name Escherichia coli. RNAcentral describes it as "bacterial SSU rRNA". It matches the Rfam family "Bacterial small subunit ribosomal RNA", at positions 68 to 707 of the family's 1533-position model. Lineage: Bacteria; Pseudomonadati; Pseudomonadota; Gammaproteobacteria; Enterobacterales; Enterobacteriaceae. The record is from RNAcentral.
GGUAACAGGAAGCAGCUUGCUGCUUCGCUGACGAGUGGCGGACGGGUGAGUAAUGUCUGGGAAACUGCCUGAUGGAGGGGGAUAACUACUGGAAACGGUAGCUAAUACCGCAUAACGUCGCAAGACCAAAGAGGGGGACCUUCGGGCCUCUUGCCAUCGGAUGUGCCCAGAUGGGAUUAGCUAGUAGGUGGGGUAACGGCUCACCUAGGCGACGAUCCCUAGCUGGUCUGAGAGGAUGACCAGCCACACUGGAACUGAGACACGGUCCAGACUCCUACGGGAGGCAGCAGUGGGGAAUAUUGCACAAUGGGCGCAAGCCUGAUGCAGCCAUGCCGCGUGUAUGAAGAAGGCCUUCGGGUUGUAAAGUACUUUCAGCGGGGAGGAAGGGAGUAAAGUUAAUACCUUUGCUCAUUGACGUUACCCGCAGAAGAAGCACCGGCUAACUCCGUGCCAGCAGCCGCGGUAAUACGGAGGGUGCAAGCGUUAAUCGGAAUUACUGGGCGUAAAGCGCACGCAGGCGGUUUGUUAAGUCAGAUGUGAAAUCCCCGGGCUCAACCUGGGAACUGCAUCUGAUACUGGCAAGCUUGAGUCUCGUAGAGGGGGGGUAGAAUUCCAGGUGUAGCGGUGAAAUGCGUAGAGAUCUGGAGGAAU